Molecule: transfer RNA, 75 nt
Filed under: Streptomyces liliifuscus
Lineage: Bacteria; Bacillati; Actinomycetota; Actinomycetes; Kitasatosporales; Streptomycetaceae
Description: Streptomyces sp. ZYC-3 tRNA-Leu
Rfam family: tRNA
About the family: Transfer RNA (tRNA) molecules are approximately 80 nucleotides in length. Their secondary structure includes four short double-helical elements and three loops (D, anti-codon, and T loops).
Source: RNAcentral
GCCCCGGUCGCGCAAUCGGUAGACGCAUCCGCCUUAAAAGCGGAUCAAGUGCCGGUUCGAAUCCGGCUCGGGGCA